UAUUUGUUAUUUUUACAGACAGCAAGUUUCUUGAUCUGAUACCACAAUCGGGUUGUGUUUUUACGCGACACAUUGUACAUUGUUAUAUCUCACGUAAUUUCUAUUACGAGAGCAUCAUUCGAACGUUGGAUUAGGACAGUGAAAAACCGGUGCAUUUAAAAGAAAAACAGCACUCCUUGAUCAUUUGAUCUGAAUGAGUAUAUCUCGACGAUAUUAUUUUUUAUAUCAUGACGUAGUAUUGUCACAGACAUUGGAAAUUAUUCCAUCGAUUUUUAUUGCAUGAAAAUAUCCCAUAUAUACACAGGAUAAAGUAUUUAUACAGGAA
Long non-coding RNA from Pogonomyrmex barbatus (red harvester ant), 325 nucleotides. The record is from RefSeq and is a predicted model, not a curated record. NCBI's taxonomy places the organism in Eukaryota, Metazoa, Arthropoda, Insecta, Hymenoptera, Formicidae.